Molecule: RNA transcript, 1934 nt
Organism: Macadamia integrifolia
Lineage: Eukaryota; Viridiplantae; Streptophyta; Magnoliopsida; Proteales; Proteaceae
Exons: 6
Source: RefSeq, a predicted model, not a curated record
GUCCCCCAUUGCAACCGCCGACGCCUCGUUGGACGUUUGGUUCGAUGUUCGCUUAUCUACAAGCAAAGAAUAAAUUUAGAAGAAGAGAGAAGCACAGAGAGAGAGAGAGAGAAAGGAAGGGAAGGUAGGGGGAGAGAGGGGAAAGGUUUCAUUUUACGUCUCCUUCUCUUCUACCCUCUUCCUUUCUUUUGUUUUCUGCUUCCUGCAUAAUAGAUAUACCAGUUUGUGGCAUUCGCAUGGUUAUCUUGUGCCCUUUUUGACAGAUUUGAUUUGGGUUCGUUGCGUUUCCUCCUGGGUUGUUGUUCUUGUCGGUGAAGAUGAUGGUUGCUAGUAGUUUUGAUCUCUGGCAGAAAGAUGCGUUCUUCUCUGCGGCUGAGGAGGUUCAGGAAUCCACAGACAUAAUGGAAUCGGUGUACAGGACUUGGUUAAGGGAGAGAAGAGAAGGGACGGGACCAGAGGAUUCAGAAGAGCUACGUAGGGAGCUGCAAAUCACUUUAGGCACAGCGAAAUGGCAGUUGGAAGAGUUUGAGAGGGCUGUCAGAUUGAGUUAUGGAAAUCGUUCCGAGCAUAAUACAAGUGCCAGGCAUAAACAAUUCAUUGUAGCCAUAGAGGAUCAGAUAUCUCGUGUGGAGAAGGCACUAAGGGAAUCAAUGUACGGGGAAGGGAAGCAACCCAUGCGAUGGGUAAACUUGGAUGAAGAAGAACGCGAUGAUUUAGCUUCAUUUCUUUCUAGAACUCCAGGAACCUUGAAAGGUACCAAGGUUGAAAAUGUAGAGCUCAGACCUUCCACAAACAACUCUCUUCAGGAGGGAAAUCAACAAAGGAGAAAAGUUCGAGACUUCCAUAUUGAUGCUGCCUGCAGAAUAGAUAUACCAGAUUGUGUAAAGGAUAAUAAAGAGGUUGUGAGUUUUAGGCAAGAUGCUAAUUAUGCAGUAGAAUUAGAAACAAAAAACCAUCCUGGAACCAAGGAUGAUUUAAGCUGUCAAGUGGAGAAAUCAAAUGGUCAUAGAAGAACAUGGAGUACACCAAGCUUUGCUGCUUGGAAGAUUGUAAUAGCAGAUGAGGAUGAACAGAGAAAAACAUUGGUGGCAAGUGAUGAAUCCACAAUCAAAGAAAAGGGGUUCAAGAAUAGCUUCCGGAAGCAGAAAAGUGGAGAGCAUCUCCGGGCAAAAGAAGGGAUAUCAACUUGCCUUGAAUUGAAAAGAUUCAAUUUGCUCUAUCAGGUCUGCGGACGGUUAGGUGGAUCUCAAAGACAAAUACAAGGUCCACAGCGCAUGCAGUUUAGCUCUCUGAAGCUUACGCUUGUGGCUGUACUAACUAUUUUCUUGAUUGGCCGCUAUUGGUGGUGAAGCCAUUCAAAUCUUUGCGGUGAGAAGCCCUGAGAAGCCCAGGUUCUGCUCUCUCACCUUACUGAUUUCUUCUUGAAGAUUAUCUAAGCUGUUCCUGUUCUAGCCUGCAGUUGAGAUUCAAGUUCUGUUCCUGUGAUAGAGAAUUCCUAGUCACAUCAGUUUUGGUGGAAAUCAGGUUCCUAUUGUAGUCUAUGCAACAUAGAGGAGAUUUACUCAUGAUCAGGAUUAAAGGUAUCCAUGUAACCUUGGAAAGUCAUCUUCUGUGAUAUCACCAAUGUUAUCCCCUUCUUUCCCCACUGUAUUUUAUUUCUCCCAGUGAAAAACAUAAGAUCAUAAGAUUGUACCAAGACCCCGUGUUCAUUCUAGAUCGUAAAGCAAAUGAAAUGUUGAGUUUAAUUUGACCUCAGAACUUGAAUAUGCUUGGCAAAUAAAUUGGGAUCAAUCCCUUAUUUGUUCAGGCAAUUGCAAGGGUAUGGGAUUUGAUCCCUCAUUUGGUUUUUACUUUUUAUAGGAGGGAAAACAGAAUGGAUGGCAUGCUUAGAUUUUUUUUAUUUUUUAUUUCUUUUUAUAAGGGACAUUUCUCCA